CUUUUCUUCUUUUCUCUUCUCUUCUCUUUUUUUUUCUCUCUCUCUUUCAUUCACAUUAUAGCUUGAGUCAGAACUUCAUUCCUUUUUAAGGCUGAAGGACCACAUUUUGCUUGUUUGUUCAUGUGAUCGAUGAUGAUGGACACUUAGGUUGUUUCCACUUUUUAGCUAUCGUAAACACUGUUGCUAAUGGAAUAUGGGUGUACAAAUAUUUCUUCAAGAUCUUGCUUUCAAUUCUUUUGGGUAUAUACCCAGAAGUGGAACUGCUGCAUCAUAUGGAAUCCAUUCCCAGGGAAAUUCUCACCACAUAGCACAUGAACACAGGUGCCAGGAUGCAGCUGCACCUUCCUUUGUGGAGCAAAAACUUGGAAAUAUCCUUAAAAGUGAUUAAGUAAAUCAGAGUAUGAACUGUGCUCUGGAGUGCAAGACCGCGGACUAUGGCUUUCUGGAUUCUCUGGUGACACCUGCUGGCACAAAGGGAUACUGCAGCCCAGCUUGGAAGAGGAAAUGUGGACACAGACACAAACAGAGGGAGGGCCAUGUGAGCCCAGAGCAAGAAGGCGGCCAUCUACAAGCCCCGGAGCGAGGCUGCGGGAGAAGCCAGCCCCGCUCACACCUU
Molecule: long non-coding RNA, 616 nt
Filed under: Homo sapiens (human)
Lineage: Eukaryota; Metazoa; Chordata; Mammalia; Primates; Hominidae
Description: HSALNT0401620
Source: RNAcentral